UCCCCGGUAGCUCAGUGGUAGAGCACUCCCUUGGUAAGGGAGAGGUCGAGAGUUCAAUCCUCUCUCGCAGCACCA
This 75-nucleotide transfer RNA is filed under the name Mesorhizobium sp. M5C.F.Ca.IN.020.29.1.1. Its description in RNAcentral is "tRNA-Thr". It matches the Rfam family "tRNA". From Rfam's summary of the family: Transfer RNA (tRNA) molecules are approximately 80 nucleotides in length. Their secondary structure includes four short double-helical elements and three loops (D, anti-codon, and T loops). Further hydrogen bonds mediate the characteristic L-shaped molecular structure. tRNAs have two regions of fundamental functional importance: the anti-codon, which is responsible for specific mRNA codon recognition, and the 3' end, to which the tRNAs corresponding amino acid is attached (by aminoacyl-tRNA synthetases). tRNAs cope with the degeneracy of the genetic code in two manners: having more than one tRNA (with a specific anti-codon) for a particular amino acid; and 'wobble' base-pairing, i.e. permitting non-standard base-pairing at the 3rd anti-codon position. The record is from RNAcentral. Lineage: Bacteria; Pseudomonadati; Pseudomonadota; Alphaproteobacteria; Hyphomicrobiales; Phyllobacteriaceae.